GACGAACGCUGGCGGCGUGCUUAACACAUGCAAGUCGAACGGAAAGGCCCUGCUUUUGUGGGGUGCUCGAGUGGCGAACGGGUGAGUAACACGUGAGUAACCUGCCCUUGACUUUGGGAUAACUUCAGGAAACUGGGGCUAAUACCGGAUAGGAGCUCCUGCUGCAUGGUGGGGGUUGGAAAGUUUCGGCGGUUGGGGAUGGACUCGCGGCUUAUCAGCUUGUUGGUGGGGUAGUGGCUUACCAAGGCUUUGACGGGUAGCCGGCCUGAGAGGGUGACCGGCAAAAUUGGGCCUGAGAACGGGCCCAGACUCAUCGGGGGGAAAGAGGGGGGGAAUUUGGCACAGGGGCGGAAGGCCUGAGGCAGCAACCCCGGGGGGGGGAGGACGGCUUUGGGUUUGUAAACCGUUUCCGCCUGGCACGAGGGGGGGGGGAGGGUAGGGGAUAAAAAAGACCGGGCAAACUACGUC
RNAcentral lists this ribosomal RNA (468 nucleotides) under uncultured bacterium. RNAcentral's name for it is "partial 16S ribosomal RNA". It matches the Rfam family "Bacterial small subunit ribosomal RNA", at positions 28 to 507 of the family's 1533-position model. The record is from RNAcentral.